GCUCUAGAAUAGCGGAUCCCCCGGGCUGCAGCCCAAUGUGGAAUUCGCCCUUCGAAAGGAAGCGCGCGGCGGGCGGGGCGGGGGCACGGGGGGUUUACAGGAGGCAGCAGUGGGGAAUAUUGCACAAUGGGCGCAAGCCUGAUGCAGCGACGCCGCGUGAGGGAUGGAGGCCUUCGGGUUGUAAACCUCUUUUGUUUGGGAGCAA
This 205-nucleotide ribosomal RNA is filed under the name uncultured Bifidobacterium sp. RNAcentral describes it as "partial 16S ribosomal RNA". It matches the Rfam family "Bacterial small subunit ribosomal RNA", at positions 302 to 449 of the family's 1533-position model. The record is from RNAcentral. Lineage: Bacteria; Bacillati; Actinomycetota; Actinomycetes; Bifidobacteriales; Bifidobacteriaceae.